Molecule: ribosomal RNA, 465 nt
Filed under: Vreelandella stevensii
Lineage: Bacteria; Pseudomonadati; Pseudomonadota; Gammaproteobacteria; Oceanospirillales; Halomonadaceae
Description: partial 16S ribosomal RNA
Rfam family: Bacterial small subunit ribosomal RNA
Source: RNAcentral
CCUACGGGGGGCAGCAGUGGGGAAUAUUGGACAAUGGGCGAAAGCCUGAUCCAGCCAUGCCGCGUGUGUGAAGAAGGCCUUCGGGUUGUAAAGCACUUUCAGUGGGGAAGAAAGCCUUGGGGCUAAUACCCUCGAGGAAGGACAUCACCCACAGAAGAAGCACCGGCUAACUCCGUGCCAGCAGCCGCGGUAAUACGGAGGGUGCGAGCGUUAAUCGGAAUUACUGGGCGUAAAGCGCGCGUAGGCGGUCUGAUAAGCCGGUUGUGAAAGCCCCGGGCUCAACCUGGGAACGGCAUCCGGGACUGUCAGGCUAGAGUGCAGGAGAGGAAGGUAGAAUUCCCGGUGUAGCGGUGAAAUGCGUAGAGAUCGGGAGGAAUACCAGUGGCGAAGGCGGCCUUCUGGACUGACACUGACGCUGAGGUGCGAAAGCGUGGGUAGCAAACAGGAUUAGAUACCCCAGUAGUC